AAGGCCACUUAGAAGUGUUUAGGGAACUCUCGUGGCUUGUUCCAUUUUGUUAGUAAAGCUUUCCCUUUACCCCCCACAAGCUUAUUUGUGACCUUGUGACUCAGUAUCCAAGGGACUACCUUCUGACAAGAACAGAGAAAUAGCUGGGUACUUCCAGGUGCCUCUUCCAGACCUGUUGCUGAAAGCAGCUCCAUCACCACCAUGCAAAGAAUUACUCUUCUUUUGCUGAGAGUUCGUUACCACUUGCAAUAAACAAGUUGAUUAUUACCUAACAAUGAUUAUAGUAAACAUAACGAAAUAAAAAAAAUGUGGUUAGUACCAAAACCAGUUUAGUAUUGAAAAUCUGGCUCUCCCCCUUGCUCUGGUUCUGUCUGCUUCCUGGUUCUAGGCAGGAAGGGAUUUCUUUGGCAGGCUGGCAUUGUAUGGAAAACCAAAUUUUACACGUGAACACUAACACUUGUGGGAUGCACUGAAACACUGAGAGACAAACUGCUGUUUUCUUGCAGGUGCUGUAUUGCUAUUUUACUCCAGGCCAAUUCAUUACUUUAAUUCCAGCAACAUUUAAGCUGUGGGGAACUGACCUCCACAUAAGCCCAAACAUCACAUAUUGCCAGCUGAAAUCCUGGGGGAGCUGGGAGCCCCUGUUAUUCCAAAAUGAUCACUUUUGAGCUUGAUCAUUUGAAUUUGAGAACCCUUUGCAUUUGGACAUGCUGACCUACUUGCCCUGGUGCUUAGGAUUAGCAGGAAACUAUAUUUCUACUUGUCAUCAAAGGAUCAAAAAUUGAAAACUACGUGUGAAGAGUCAGGAUGCGUAUCACUCAGCUCUAUUUAGAUGCACAUAAAACCACUUUCUAACAUUUUUAAUAAUCCUGUGUAUAAGUAAGUAUUACAGAAAAAGUUACAUUUUUUAAAAAGAAUAGAGCGGAUUACUUAGGCUUUUUUAUGUCCUAAAUAUACUGGGUUAUACUUUGUUUGUACUCUGUUUUUCUUCUGAUUAUGACGACUAUUGUUAGCUGACAAAUAAUAAUUUAGAAGCAAACUGUUCCCAAGACUUUUAGGCACUUUUUCCUACUGAAGAGGUACCUUGCUUCAUUUUACAAGUUACUGGGAAAAAAUAUUUAGUUCUCUACUUCUAAUGGAUCUCUGUUUUAACUACAUAUCUGAGUAUCUGAAAACUAUUCAGCAAGUUGGUAUGUUCUUCUCAUUCCCUUCUUUUAUUCACUA
RNAcentral lists this long non-coding RNA (1224 nucleotides) under Anser brachyrhynchus (Pink-footed goose). RNAcentral's name for it is "lncRNA (ENSABRG00000009766.1)". The record is from RNAcentral. Lineage: Eukaryota; Metazoa; Chordata; Aves; Anseriformes; Anatidae.